UACAGAGGUCCCAAGCGUUGUUCGGAUUCACUGGGCGUAAAGGGUGCGCAGGUGGCCGGGUAAGUCUGAUGUGAAAUCCCGCAGCUUAACUGCGGAAUGGCAUUGGAUACUAUUCGGCUAGAGGGUUGGAGGGGGGACUGGAAUUCUCGGUGUAGCAGUGAAAUGCGUAGAUAUCGAGAGGAACACCAGUGGCGAAGGCGAGUCCCUGGACAACUCCUGACGCUGAGGCACGAAAGCUAGGGGAGCAAACAGG
This 253-nucleotide ribosomal RNA is filed under the name uncultured bacterium. RNAcentral's name for it is "partial 16S ribosomal RNA". It matches the Rfam family "Bacterial small subunit ribosomal RNA", at positions 524 to 776 of the family's 1533-position model. The record is from RNAcentral.